CAGUUCAGUGCAAACAGGACGCGAAGACAUUUAAAAAGCGCUGUGCAUUAUUUUUUACAAUUGAAUAUAAGACAAUCCGUGCAUUUUUGUUUGUAAAAUGUUUAGUGGCACCGUCUACUGUGGAGUGAAGGGGAUGUUGGUAACCGGACCUCAGCCUGGCUCAGCUGCUCUGAAUAACGUUAACCAUUUCGCCUGAAGGCUUGACUAAAGUAAAAAUGAAAGCAGUGCAGCACCAACCGCUGCUUCUUUGUUCCAGUUAUCCAAACGUGUACCUCAUUUCUAGAUGGAUCUUCCUUCAAAGCUGCUUAACUAAUGAAAACCUCUUCAUCUGAAGCAGAAGAAGGAAGAAGAACAUGGCCGUCGGUGAAGGAACUGCUUGAAACUUACAUGGGGACAGUUCGUGGGAAUUAGGAUAAUAUAUUUUCCGCAACAAUUGAUGGGCAUCCAGUAAAGAAAGGUCAAUGUUUAAAGAGUUUCACAUCCGCUAUUUCAAGUGUUUCCGUUCUACAGUUAACCAGGACACAAGCUCGUCAACAUAUCUUUAUUUUCAGAGAUAAAUAACUACAAAAAGGGUUAAUGAAGAAAUAAUUCAGCUUUUUUUUUCAUCCAUCGAUGUUCACUUGACCUGAUAUUUUGAUUGGACUUAAUGGUGAUAGGACAAACAACCUGACUUCUAUGGGAUUAGUAUAUUAUUUUCUUUUUAUUUAGCCAGAAAGUUAGCCGCUGAGUCAACGCAGUUUAACAGUAAAUAUGUGUUUUUCAAAAAACACUUUCAAUCAAGAGGAUGCUUUAUGUUGGAGUUAUGGUUUGAUCACAAAGGCUCUAUCUUUUAAUGAAGUGUACUGUGUGCUGUACAAAUAUUUCAUAAUAAACUAUACAUUUCUGAAGUGAUA
Molecule: long non-coding RNA, 893 nt
Organism: Gymnodraco acuticeps
Lineage: Eukaryota; Metazoa; Chordata; Actinopteri; Perciformes; Bathydraconidae
Exons: 2
Source: RefSeq, a predicted model, not a curated record